CAGUCGCCGCGGUAAUACGGAGGGGGCUAGCGUUGUUCGGAAUUACUGGGCGUAAAGCGCACGUAGGCGGCUUGGUAAGUUAGAGGUGAAAGCCUGGAGCUCAACUCCAGAAUUGCCUUUAAGACUGCCGAGCUAGCAGGUGAGAGAGGUAAGUGGAAUUCCGAGUGUAGAGGUGAAAUUCGUAGAUAUUCGGAAGAACACCAGUGGCGAAGGCGGCUUACUGGCUCAUACUGGACGCUGAGGUGCGAAAGCGUGGGGAGCAAACAGGAUUAGAGACCCCAGUAGUCCCUGUCUCUUAUAC
RNAcentral lists this ribosomal RNA (301 nucleotides) under uncultured bacterium. RNAcentral's name for it is "partial 16S ribosomal RNA". It matches the Rfam family "Bacterial small subunit ribosomal RNA", at positions 509 to 807 of the family's 1533-position model. The record is from RNAcentral.